GCCGGGGUGGUGGAAUGGCAGACACGGCGCACUCAAAAUGCGUUGCUCGAAAGGGCGUGCGGGUUCAAGUCCCGCUCCCGGCA
RNAcentral lists this transfer RNA (83 nucleotides) under Yimella lutea. Its description in RNAcentral is "tRNA-Leu". It matches the Rfam family "tRNA". Rfam says of the family: Transfer RNA (tRNA) molecules are approximately 80 nucleotides in length. Their secondary structure includes four short double-helical elements and three loops (D, anti-codon, and T loops). RNAcentral also lists the same sequence under 2 other names. Lineage: Bacteria; Bacillati; Actinomycetota; Actinomycetes; Micrococcales; Dermacoccaceae. The record is from RNAcentral.